GACGAACGCUGGCGGCGUGCUUAACACAUGCAAGUCGUACGGACUUGGGGUUUUUGGCUCUGGGUGAGUGGCGAACGGGUGAGUAACACGUGAGUGACCUGCCCUUCACUUCGGGAUAACGGUGGGAAACUGCUGCUAAUACUGGAUGUUCUGCUGUCUUUGCAUGGGGAUGGUGGGAAAGGGUGCUCUGUGGGGUGCUUGGUGGGGGAUGGGCUCGCGGCUUAUCAGCUUGUUGGUGGGGUGAUGGCUUACCAAGGCGGUGACGGGUAGCCGGCCUGAGAGGGUGGUCGGUCACAUUGGGACUGAGAUACGGCCCAGACUCCUACGGGAGGCAGCAGUGGGGGAUUUUGCACAAUGGGCGGAAGCCUGAUGCAGCGACGCCGCGUGAGGGAUGGAGGCCUUCGGGUUGUGAACCUCUGUGUCCCAUGGUCAAGCCGUGCCUGUGGGUGUGGUGAGGGUAGUGGGGUAUGAGCGCCGGCUAACUACGUG
RNAcentral lists this ribosomal RNA (489 nucleotides) under uncultured organism. RNAcentral describes it as "bacterial SSU rRNA". It matches the Rfam family "Bacterial small subunit ribosomal RNA", at positions 28 to 507 of the family's 1533-position model. The record is from RNAcentral.